AGCAGCCGCGGUAAUUCCAGCUCCAAUAGCGUAUAUUAAAGUUGUUGCAGUUAAAAAGCUCGUAGUUGAACUUCGGGAUCAAGGAAUCGGUCAUGCCUUGGUAUGUACUGGUUUUAUUGGUUCUCACCUUCUAAAGAACCAUGAUGUCAUUCAUUUGAUGUUGUGGGGAAUCAGGACUGUUACUUUGAAAAAAUUAGAGUGUUUAAAGCAGGCUCACGCUUGAAUACAUUAGCAUGGAAUAAUGAAAUAGGACGUUUGAUUCUAUUUUGUUGGUUUCUAGGAUCGACGUAAUGAUUAAUAGGGAUAGUUGGGGGCAUUAGUAUUCAAUUGUCAGAGGUGAAAUUCUUGGAUUUAUUGAAGACUAACUACUGCGAAAGCAUUUGCCAAGGAUGUUUUCAUUAAUCAAGAACGAAAGUUAGGGGAUCGAAGACGAUCAGAUACCGUCGUAGUCUUAACCAUAAACUAUGCCGACUAGGGAUCGGAUGA
RNAcentral lists this ribosomal RNA (486 nucleotides) under uncultured Glomus. Its description in RNAcentral is "SSU rRNA". It matches the Rfam family "Eukaryotic small subunit ribosomal RNA", at positions 569 to 1060 of the family's 1831-position model. The record is from RNAcentral. Lineage: Eukaryota; Fungi; Glomeromycota; Glomeromycetes; Glomerales; Glomeraceae.